This 3691-nucleotide long non-coding RNA is filed under the name Homo sapiens (human). RNAcentral describes it as "HSALNT0216866". The record is from RNAcentral. Lineage: Eukaryota; Metazoa; Chordata; Mammalia; Primates; Hominidae.
CGCCCCCACCAGCCCGGCGCCCCCUCCAGCCCAGUGCCUCCCCAAGCCCGGUGCCUCCCACCAGCGUGACAAGCCAUGGGUCCCCCACUUCAAGGCCCACAUUUUUUUAUUAGCUGAGGUCGUGGUAGCUGUUGUACCACCUCACUAAGCGCGUCUUUUUCUGUAGUUUUGAUGCUGACGUCUUGCCCAUUCCUGUGCCCCGACCACCCAGCUGCGUGGAGCAGCCCCCACUCUCUGUGGAUAAAAGAACUUUCUUCCUACAAGACGGUCAUUCCUGCGUCUGUGUGUUACCCUCCCUGAUUACAACAAAUCCUAGGCUCAUUUUAAAAAGAUACAGGCCCCACAUUUAGGAGGCUGCAGCCCAAACCUCUGCAGCCAGCAUCCUAUGUCUUCGCUGCAGUUUAUGGCAAGACCCUGGAGACCUGGUGAGAGCACAGCCCUGGUGUCCUCCUCCGUGGCCCCCCUCAUCCCCCUCUGUCAGGUGUGUAGCCCCCACUCCAAGCGUGAUCUUCAGCCCCCGGCCCUGUCCCUCAGCAGCACAGGUGAUAAGCCCCUCCGUCCGGAAGCACUGUCUUUACUUGGCCACCAAGACCCCCAACUUGACCGCACCCCCACUUGCCAGCCAUCCCCUCUGCCCUGCCUGUGCUUCCUACCACUGUGCAGGCCCAGCUUGUGCCCCCCUUGGGGCUGAGCCCCGGCGGGCACCCAUGUCCUCCAGCUGUGAGCACUUUCCUCUAUGGUGUUUGCUCUUCCCUCUGGGACAUGGCCAUGGGGCCCCUCAGAAUGGCACAUAUUGGGCACCACGUGACUUCAGGUAGAAUGACUGAGGGACCAGCCCAGCACAGCCAGGCAGGGCAGCGAGAGGCCGGGCAGGACACCCUCCGACCACUCUGAGGACAGGGAUGGCUGCAGAGCCAAUGCAGGCUCACACGCAGGGACAGACAGCUGGAGGCUGAGCCCAGGCGCAGGACUUCAGAGCCACCAGCCACAACCACACCCAAGGCCAUGGGGUAGACAAGGGCAGUGUGGACUGAGCGGUCAGGGUCCCCAUGAGAUAAACAGGAACCACUCAGAAACACUUCUCUCCUGCCAGGAGCGGUGGCCUACGCCUGUAAUCCCGGCACUUUGGGAGGUAGAGGCAGGCAGAUCACUUGAGCCCAGGAGUUUGGGACCAGCCUGGGCGGCAUGGUGAAACCCUGCGUCUACUAAAAAUGAAAAUACAAAAAUUAGCUGGGCAUGGUGGCACGCGCCUGUAGUCUCAGCCACUCAGGAGGCUGAGAUGGGAGGAUUAGUUGAUCCCGGAAGAUCGAGGCUGCAGUCCCAGCCACUCAGGAGGCUGAGGUGGGAGGAUGACUUGAUCCCGGAAGAUCAAGGCUGCAGUCCCAGCCACUCAGGAGGCUGAGGUGGGAGGAUGACUUGAUCCUGGAAGAUGGAGGCUGCAGUGAGCUGACUGUGCCACUGAGUGACAGAGCAACAUCUUGUCUCAAAAAAAAAAAAAAAAAAAAGAGAAACCCUCCUGUCCAACCAAGGCGGGACUUCAGAGGCCGUAGGACACAUUCCCUGGGCUCCAGGGGGAGGUGCGACCACCACAGGCCCCAGAGGUUGUGAUCCUGACCUGGCCGGAGUCCCAACCAGCCUCAUCCCUCAAGGCAGGGUCAGCCAGGACCAGGUGAAGGAGCCCUGAAGUAGUGCAGAAAGGGAAGCAGAGGCCAGGAAGGCUGAGCCAGCCGGAACAGAAUAGGCAAGCGUAUGAGACACUGCACUUCCAUCUCAUUAAUCGUUUUUUCUUUUUCAUAUAGGGUCUCACUCUGUUGCCCAGGCUGGAGUGCAGUAACAAGAUCAUAGCUCACUUGGCCUCAUAGCCUUGGUCUCCAGGCUCAAGCGAUCCUCCUGUCUCGGCCUCCCUUCUAUGUAGCUGGGACUACAGGCACAUGCCACUACACCCAGCUGCUUUUUUUAUUUUUUGUAGUGGUGGGGCCUCCCUAUGUUGCCCAGGCUGGUCUUGAUCUCCCAGGCUCAUGCAAUCCUCCCAUCCAGGCCUCCCAAAGCGCUGGGAUUACAGGCAUGAGCCACUGCAUCCAGCUGCACCACCUCUUAAUAAACAUUAGUUUUGGCCGGGCACAGUGGUUCAUGCCUGUAAUCCCAGCACUUUGGGAGGCCGAGGCGGGUGGAUCACCUGAGGUCAGGAGUUCAAGACCAGCCUGACCAAUACGAUGAAACCCCAUCUCUACUAAAAAUACAAAAAUUGGCCGGGCAUGGUGGCGCACUGCUGUAAUCCCAGCUACUCAGAAGGCUGAGGCAGGAGAAUCGCUUGAACCCGGGAGGCGGAGGUUGCAGUGAGCCGAAACUGCGCCACUGUACUCCAGCCUGGGUGACAAGAGCAAGACUCUGUCUUAAAAAAAAAAAAAUUUCUAGUUUUGUUGAAGUUUAUUGCACCUUCCAGUAAGCGCACUUGGUCUCACGCGCCAGGUGACCUCUGCUGUUUCCUGUGAGGCCAUCUUCGCCUCUGUCUUCCUGGGAAGCAAACUGCACUGUCCUUACACAGAUGCUGGCUCGUCCAGGGUGCAGGGCCCUACUGCCCCAGCCAGGCCGACACCGUGGGCCUCCAGGCUGUUCCGUGGGUCUGGGGCAGGUCGCAAGACAGAAGGGAAAAGCUGCAGCUGGCCUUAAGACAGGAAGUCUAUGGGGACAGAGGGGAUGGGGGUCUUGAGGAUGACUCGGGCUCCUGAAGGCAGGGGAGGGAGGCAGGAGAGUGUCAGAGAGGCAGUGUUGUGAGGACCUCCAUGCCUGCUCUGAGCUGGGGGCCACACAGCCCUGCCUGCCCAUCCAGCUUUAACCCUGUGGACUGGCAACCCCCGACCCACAGAACAAGAGGGCGUGACUUCAGGCGACUCGAGCCACUGCAUGUGUGAUAACAACUAGAGCUGAAGGCCCUCUCCACCGCCAGCAUCAUGGGGGCACACGCGCACCCAGGACUUGGACUGCCCUGAAUUCACGCAUCACAUCGAGAGGUGACAACUCCAUGACAAUAAGCCUGCUUUUGUGCUCGUAAAAAUCAAGUCCCCCAGGCCCGUGAGAGUCCUGGUUCUGUGGCAGUUUAUAAAAAGCAGGGCUUCAAGUGGACUUGCUCCCAGCCCAAGAAGAGCCCUGUCCGGCAGUCGAGGGUUGCUGAGAGCACGGGGGACUUUCAGAGGCUGCAGGUGGAGGAGGGUUGAGGUCUGAGGGCCUGGAACAGAGCUGGAACCAGCAGGUGGAGGUGGCAGGAGCCCUUAGGAGGAGCUGGCGGAGGGGCCGGAGGGUGGCGCAGGCCAGGGAGCAUUUGCACAAAUCCUGGUGGCCCACAGGAGGCCCAGCUGCAUGAGAGGGUCAGAGAGGUGCUCCUGAAAGGGAGGCCUUGCUGGCCACGGCCAGGUCUUGCCGGUGCUCCUGGGUCCCAUGCACCGGAAUGGGAAGGCAGGCGGUCUAGGCGUGUCCACCCCUGGGACCAAGGAGGCCCAGACAGGCUGAGACUGGAGCUGGAGCCCCAGGUGUGUGCUGUCACUCAGGGAUGAGCUGAGCUUGCUGAGCAGCCUCUGGAACAAAGCCCCUCUGUCCAUGCUGUGCCUCCCCACCCGGAGCACCACCUCCCGGGAAGGAGCAGAGCCCCGGGCUCCCAUCCGGCGCACCCACCAGGCACAGCCUUGGCCGGAGG